RNAcentral lists this ribosomal RNA (205 nucleotides) under Vibrio alginolyticus. RNAcentral's name for it is "partial 16S ribosomal RNA". It matches the Rfam family "Bacterial small subunit ribosomal RNA", at positions 1338 to 1533 of the family's 1533-position model. RNAcentral also lists the same sequence under 1 other name. Lineage: Bacteria; Pseudomonadati; Pseudomonadota; Gammaproteobacteria; Vibrionales; Vibrionaceae. The record is from RNAcentral.
GUAAUCGUGGAUCAGAAUGCCACGGUGAAUACGUUCCCGGGCCUUGUACACACCGCCCGUCACACCAUGGGAGUGGGCUGCAAAAGAAGUAGGUAGUUUAACCUUCGGGGGGACGCUUACCACUUUGUGGUUCAUGACUGGGGUGAAGUCGUAACAAGGUAGCGCUAGGGGAACCUGGCGCUGGAUCACCUCCUUAAACGAUGAU